RNAcentral lists this ribosomal RNA (433 nucleotides) under uncultured bacterium. RNAcentral's name for it is "partial 16S ribosomal RNA". It matches the Rfam family "Bacterial small subunit ribosomal RNA", at positions 29 to 507 of the family's 1533-position model. The record is from RNAcentral.
AGCGAACGCUGGCGGCAGGCCUAACACAUGCAAGUCGAACGAACUCUUCGGAGUUAGUGGCGGACGGGUGAGUAACACGUGGGAACGUGCCUUUAGGUUCGGAAUAACUCAGGGAAACUUGUGCUAAUACCGAAUGUGCCCUUCGGGGGAAAGAUUUAUCGCCUUUAGAGCGGCCCGCGUCUGAUUAGCUAGUUGGUGAGGUAAAGGCUCACCAAGGCGACGAUCAGUAGCUGGUCUGGGAGGAUGAUCAGCCACAUUGGGACUGAGACACGGCCCAAACUCCUACGGGAAGCAGCAGUGGGGAAUCUUGCGCAAUGGGCGAAAGCCUGACGCAGCCAUGCCGCGUGAAUGAUGAAGGUCUUAGGAUUGUAAAAUUCUUUCACCGGGGACGAUAAUGACGGUACCCGGAGAAGAAGCCCCGGCUAACUUCGUG